UUAAAAGCUAAGACGGAGUAAAGUAGUCUAUUUAUUACCUUUCAGGGAGGAAGAGUCUCGACUGAAAACUCUUCUAUGUGUGAUGAUAGGUGAAGUUCCCUCCCGAGCUGCCCGGCUGAACGUAAUCAAGUAGGCCAGGACGGUUCUUCACCGUUAACAGGAAGGGGGUAUCGGAUAUCAAUUCCCGUACCUUUGUCGAGUGGCCUUUUUGGCUUAAGUUGGGUGGUAACGCGAGAUAUAACUUCUCGUCCCUACA
This 256-nucleotide non-coding RNA is filed under the name Peptococcaceae bacterium. RNAcentral describes it as "T-box sequence". It matches the Rfam family "T-box leader". Rfam says of the family: Uncharged tRNA acts as the effector for transcription antitermination of genes in the T-box leader family. T-boxes are found upstream of many aminoacyl-tRNA synthetase genes and some amino acid biosynthetic genes usually in Gram-positive bacteria. The record is from RNAcentral. Lineage: Bacteria; Bacillati; Bacillota; Clostridia; Eubacteriales; Peptococcaceae.